UACGGGAGGCAGCAGUGGGGAAUAUUGCACAAUGGGCGCAAGCCUGAUGCAGCCAUGCCGCGUGUAUGAAGAAGGCCUUCGGGUUGUAAAGUACUUUCAGUCGUGAGGAGGGUGUUAAGGUUAAUAACCUUAGCAAUUGACGUUAGCGACAGAAGAAGCACCGGCUAACUCCGUGCCAGCAGCCGCGGUAAUACGGAGGGUGCGAGCGUUAAUCGGAAUUACUGGGCGUAAAGGGCACGCAGGCGGUUAAUUAAGUUGGAUGUGAAAUCCCCGGGCUUAACCUGGGAAUGGCAUUCAAGACUGGUUAGCUAGAGUCUUGUAGAGGGGGUAGAAUUCCAUGUGUAGCGGUGAAAUGCGUAGAGAUGUGGAGGAAUACCGGUGGCGAAGGCGGCCCCUGGACAAAGACUGACGCUCAUGUGCGAAAGCGUGGGGAGCAAACAGGAUUAGAUACC
Molecule: ribosomal RNA, 452 nt
Filed under: uncultured bacterium
Lineage: Bacteria
Description: bacterial SSU rRNA
Rfam family: Bacterial small subunit ribosomal RNA
Source: RNAcentral